AGAGUUGUAUCCUGGCUCAGAUUGAACGCUGGCGGCAUGCCUUACACAUGCAAGUCGAACGGUAGAGGGGGCAACCCCUUGAGAGUGGCGAACGGGUGAGUAAUGCAUCGGAACGUGCCCAGUUGUGGGGGAUAACGUAGCGAAAGCUACGCUAAUACCGCAUACGACCUGAGGGUGAAAGCGGGGGACUCGCAAGAGCCUCGCGCAAUUGGAGCGGCCGAUGUCAGAUUAGGUAGUUGGUGGGGUAAAAGCCUACCAAGCCGACGAUCUGUAGCUGGUCUGAGAGGGCGACCAGCCACACUGGGACUGAGACACGGCCCAGACUCCUACGGGAGGCAGCAGUGGGGAAUUUUGGACAAUGGGCGCAAGCCUGAUCCAGCCAUGCCGCGCGCAGGAAGAAGGCCUUCGGGUUGUAAACUGCUUUUGUCAGGGAAGAAAUCCCUUGGGUUAAUACCUCGGGGGGAUGACGGUACCUGAAGAAUAAGCACCGGCUAACUACGUGCCAGCAGCCGCGGUAAUACGUAGGGUGCAAGCGUUAAUCGGAAUUACUGGGCGUAAAGCGUGCGCAGGCGGUUUUGUAAGACAGAGGUGAAAUCCCCGGGCUCAACCUGGGAACUGCCUUUGUGACUGCAAAGCUUGAGUGCGGCAGAGGGGGAUGGAAUUCCGCGUGUAGCAGUGAAAUGCGUAGAUAUGCGGAGGAA
Molecule: ribosomal RNA, 701 nt
Filed under: uncultured beta proteobacterium
Lineage: Bacteria; Pseudomonadati; Pseudomonadota; Betaproteobacteria
Description: bacterial SSU rRNA
Rfam family: Bacterial small subunit ribosomal RNA
Source: RNAcentral